UACGUAGGUGGCAAGCGUUGUCCGGAAUUAUUGGGCGUAAAGCGCGCGCAGGUGGUUCUUUAAGUCUGAUGUGAAAGCCCACGGCUCAACCGUGGAGGGUCAUUGGAAACUGGGGAACUUGAGUGCAGAAGAGGAAAGUGGAAUUCCAAGUGUAGCGGUGAAAUGACGUAGAGAUUUGGAGGAACACCAGUGGCGAAGGCGACUUUCUGGUCUGUAACUGACACUGAGGCGCGAAAGCGUGGGGAGCAAACAGG
Molecule: ribosomal RNA, 254 nt
Filed under: uncultured bacterium
Lineage: Bacteria
Description: partial 16S ribosomal RNA
Rfam family: Bacterial small subunit ribosomal RNA
Source: RNAcentral